ACUGAGAACUGCCAUGGCCUACCUGCUGAACAGCUUUCCUUACAUUGACCAGACUUGAUGGUGCCCUUUUCCAGGACCUUUUCCUUCUUGGUAAAACGGUAAAAGCUAUGAGCUCUCAGGAAAAAUUAUAGUGCCGUUCCCAACACCUGGCAUUUGGGAUAAAGAAAUGAAUUAUAUAAACUAUCUGAAUUCCAAGAAAAACAACAAGCAAGGAAGUCCAGAUGCUUCUGAGAGGCUCCCAGCUCCUGAUUCCAUAUGUGGAAAUCUCAGAUCAAGGCUAUCUCUUCAGUAAACCUACUCAACCCCUACCCAAGACUCAAGGAGCUUUCCCAUUGACCACGUAUUUCUUCCCUUUUUAUACUAAGACAGAAGACCAGCUUCCUACUCCCCAUGUCUGAUCACUUCAUCCUCUGUGUUCUCCCUCUCAAAUGGCUGUUUAUAAUGCAUUAGAGGCCAAUUAGUAAACCCUAGUGGUACUGAAGGAAUAUCUGAGGUGCAGUUGAUGUCCGGACAACACUUGUGACAUCACAGAAGAAGCUAGGGCUCUCCAGGAUACAAUAGAUUUUUCAGGGAGGGCCUAAUGUUGAUGUCACUGAGAAGCACCAUGGCCUACCUCUAAACAGCUUUCUUUACAUUGACCAGUUUUGAGAGUGCCUUUUCCAGGAUAAAUAAAAGUUUAAGAAGCUGAACAGCCAAAGAGGAAUCUCAAUCCCACCUGAGAGGGAGAAGAAAUGAAACACAGGAGGUUAAAUGGAUGUUUGUAUGUGACUGAAAAUACAUGGAAGAUACCUGUAUCCCAACACUGACACAAUAUUCUCUAUUGCUGUCUUAUCCCAUAAAAAUCUUUCUGAGAGUGGUUUAAGUAUGUUGGAAGAUAUGCCAAUGAUUCUUUAAGUAAUAAAACCAAUAAAACCAGCUGUUUAUUUUUC
Molecule: long non-coding RNA, 929 nt
Organism: Rattus norvegicus (Norway rat)
Lineage: Eukaryota; Metazoa; Chordata; Mammalia; Rodentia; Muridae
Source: RefSeq, a predicted model, not a curated record